CUGGCUCAGGAUGAACGCUGGCGGCGUGCCUAACACAUGCAAGUCGAGCGGAGAUAAGUUGAAGCCUAGCGAUUCUUAUCUUAGCGGCGGAUGGGUGAGUAACACGUGGGUAACCUGCCCUGCACUGGGGAAUAACAGCGGGAAACGGCUGUUAAUGCCGCAUAUGCGCACGGAGCCGCAUGGCUUUGGGCGGAAAGAUUUAUCGGUGCAGGAUGGGCCCGCGCCGGAUUAACUAGUUGGCGGGGUAACGGCCCACCAAGGUGAUGAUCCGUAGCCGACCUGAGAGGGUGACCGGCCACAUUGGGACUGAGACACGGCCCAAACUCCUACGGGAGGCAGCAGUGGGGAAUAUUGCACAAUGGGCGAAAGCCUGAUGCAGCGAACCGCCGCGUGAGCGAAGAAGUAUUUCGGUAUGUAAAGCUCUAUCAGCAGGGAAGAUAAUGACGGUACCUGACUAAGAAGCACCGGCUAAAUACGUGCCAGCAGCCGC
RNAcentral lists this ribosomal RNA (490 nucleotides) under uncultured bacterium. Its description in RNAcentral is "bacterial SSU rRNA". It matches the Rfam family "Bacterial small subunit ribosomal RNA", at positions 19 to 518 of the family's 1533-position model. The record is from RNAcentral.